UAACAGAACAUUGGGUGCUGAUUUAGAGCAUCUUUCUCAUGUUUGAAGCAUUCUGAUGAACAAUUCUGCAUAAUACUGAUAAUUUCUAUAGAAUCAUAAGCCUUCACUGGAUCAUGAAUUACUGGUGUCCAAAGAUAUUUACAAUUCAAGAGUGAUAGUUUCGCUCAUAAAAUGGCACUUUGAUCAUGGAACAAGCUCCCCAGCUCAUGCGGCCUUCUACUUUAUAAAACACUGCAUCAGAACCUCGAGAAUGAUGAUGAAGCAUGGCAUUUAAGCAGGCAAGAGAAGAGGGUAAGCCUUCCUGGAGGGCGUGAGAAGUCAGACAACUGCUACAUUUUGCUCCAGUUUAGGAGAUGAAAAAAGUAAAUAAUGAAAAAAGUAACCUGAUCAGUGUAACAAUAAGAUGAUAGAAGUAACCUGAACACAGCAUAAUAAUAUAUACUUAGAAUAUUACUCCUUUAUCAAAGUAAAGAAUUUCCAUUACUUCGAUUGAGGACUAUCAGAAAUGUCAUAUUUUGAUUAGAGUGGUUUCAAGGGCAGAAACAAUACAACAACAUGGCCAUCCCACCACCAGAGGCUAUCACUCUUAUAAUUAUGAAGAUUUUACAGAUGUAGAGUGUAAAACUACAGGAAGUAGUGAAGAAUUGAUGCCAUAACAACUAGAACCAGCUAAUACUCCCAAAUUUCAUUUUUUUUAAUUGUUAAGAGCACGUGAGAUGAGAGACAUAGCUAGAAAAUGACGGAAUAUGGAAACGUUUCACUCGACUCGUAUUUUAAUAUUAGCUUGGUUCAUAUUCCUUGUUUCUUAAGUCUAGAAAGAUAUCUGUUGAACAACCGUCCCAAAAGCAAUGAAUACAGCCUGGUUUUGAAUAAAAAUCUGGGUUCUUUUUAAAACAUCGAGAGUGAAGUUCAUUGUAAAUGCGUCAUGUCAAAAUCUCAGUCAACAGCAAUGUAGCAAAAGAAGCAGAGAGAAAAAAUAAAUAAAAUAUAUUGUGCUGAGAUUUAAUGGCUCGAUUUUCUC
This 1021-nucleotide long non-coding RNA is filed under the name Actinia tenebrosa (Australian red waratah sea anemone). RNAcentral's name for it is "uncharacterized LOC116290342, transcript variant X4". Lineage: Eukaryota; Metazoa; Cnidaria; Anthozoa; Actiniaria; Actiniidae. The record is from RNAcentral.